RNAcentral lists this ribosomal RNA (301 nucleotides) under uncultured bacterium. Its description in RNAcentral is "partial 16S ribosomal RNA". It matches the Rfam family "Bacterial small subunit ribosomal RNA", at positions 509 to 807 of the family's 1533-position model. The record is from RNAcentral.
CAGCAGCCGCGGUAAUACGAAGGGUGCAAGCGUUACUCGGAAUUACUGGGCGUAAAGCGUGCGUAGGUGGUGGUUUAAGUCCGUUGUGAAAGCCCUGGGCUCAACCUGGGAAUUGCAGUGGAUACUGGGUCACUAGAGUGUGGUAGAGGAUAGUGGAAUUUCCGGUGUAGCAGUGAAAUGCGUAGAGAUCGGAAGGAACAUCUGUGGCGAAGGCGACUAUCUGGGCCAACACUGACGCUCAUGCACGAAAGCGUGGGGAGCAAACAGGAUUAGAUACCCGUGUAGUCCCUGUCUCUUAUAC